UACGUAGGGGGCAAGCGUUGUCCGGAUUUAUUGGGCGUAAAGAGCGUGUAGGCGGCCGUACAGGUCAGCUGUGAAAACUCGAGGCUCAACCUCGAGACGUCGGUUGAAACCGUACGGCUAGAGUCCGGAAGAGGAGAGUGGAAUUCCCGGUGUAGCGGUGGAAUGCGCAGAUAUCGGGAAGAACACCCGUGGCGAAGGCGGCUCUCUGGGACGGUACUGACGCUGAGACGCGAAAGCGUGGGGAGCGAACAGG
This 253-nucleotide ribosomal RNA is filed under the name uncultured bacterium. RNAcentral describes it as "partial 16S ribosomal RNA". It matches the Rfam family "Bacterial small subunit ribosomal RNA", at positions 524 to 776 of the family's 1533-position model. The record is from RNAcentral.